This 256-nucleotide ribosomal RNA is filed under the name uncultured bacterium. Its description in RNAcentral is "partial 16S ribosomal RNA". It matches the Rfam family "Bacterial small subunit ribosomal RNA", at positions 521 to 776 of the family's 1533-position model. The record is from RNAcentral.
UAAAACGUAGGAGGCGAGCGUUAUCCGGAUUUACUGGGUGUAAAGCGCGUGCAGGCGGUUCUGCAAGUGGGACGUGAAAGCGCCCGGCUCAACCGGGCGAGGACGUACCGAACUGCGGGACUAGAGGCAGGUAGAGGCGUGUGGAAUUCCGGGUGUAGUGGUGAAAUGCGUAGAGAUCCGGAGGAACACCAGUGGCGAAGGCGACACGCUGGGCCUGGCCUGACGCUCAGACGCGAAAGCAUGGGGAGCGAACGGG